RNAcentral lists this ribosomal RNA (800 nucleotides) under uncultured archaeon. RNAcentral's name for it is "bacterial SSU rRNA". It matches the Rfam family "Archaeal small subunit ribosomal RNA", at positions 76 to 879 of the family's 1478-position model. The record is from RNAcentral.
AUUGCCCUUAGGGCUCAGUAACACGUGGAUAACAUGCCCUAAGGUGGGGGAUAAUCUCGGGAAACUGAGGAUAAUACCCCAUAGGUCUGAUAUGCUGGAAUGCUUUCAGGCCGAAAACUCCGGUGCCUUAGGAUUGGUCUGCGGUCUAUCAGGCUGUAGUGGGUGUAACGGACCCACUAGCCCGUGACGGAUAUGGGCCUUGAGAGAGGGAGCCCAGAGAUGGACUCUGAGACAUGAGUCCAGGCCCUACGGGGCGCAGCAGUCGCGAAAACUUCGCAAUGGGGGCAACCCCGACGAGGGAAUUCCAAGUGCCAGCACUUUGUGUUGGCUGUUCUCCUGUCUAAAAAACAGGAGGAGUAAGGGGCGGGUAAGACGGGUGCCAGCCGCCGCGGUAAUACCCGCGCCCCUAGUGGUGGUCGAUAUUAUUGAGCCUAAAACGUCCGUAGCCGGUCUUCUAAAUCCUUGGGUAAAUCGGGCAGCUUAACUGUCCGAAGUCCGGGGAGACUGGAAGACUUGGGACCGGGAGAGGUCAGAGGUACUUCUGGGGUAGGGGUAAAAUCCUGUAAUCCUGGAAGGACCACCGGUGGCGAAGGCGUCUGACUAGAACGGAUCCGACGGUGAGGGACGAAGCCCUGGGGCGCAAACGGGAUUAGAUACCCGGGUAGUCCUGGCCGUAAACGCUGCGGGCUUGGUGUUGGGGGUCCUUAGUGGGCGCCCAGUGCCGGAGAGAAGUUGUUAAGCCUGCUGCUUGGGGAGUAUGUCCGCAAGGAUGAAACUUAAAGGAAUUGGCGGGGGAGCAC